GAUGAACGCUGGCGGCGUGCUUAACACAUGCCAGUCGAACGAUGAAGCCCAGCUUGCUGGGUGGAUUAGUGGCGAACGGGUGAGUAACACGUGAGUAACCUGCCCUUGACUCUGGGAUAAGCCUGGGAAACUGGGUCUAAUACUGGAUAUGACUUCUCAUCGCAUGGUGGGGGGUGGAAAGAUUUAUUGGUCUUGGAUGGACUCGCGGCCUAUCAGCUUGUUGGUGAGGUAAUGGCUCACCAAGGCGACGACGGGUAGCCGGCCUGAGAGGGUGACCGGCCACACUGGGACUGAGACACGGCCCAGACUCCUACGGGAGGCAGCAGCGGGGAAUAUUGCACAAUGGGCGCAAGCCUGAUGCAGCGACGCCGCGUGAGGGAUGACGGCCUUCGGGUUGUAAACCUCUUUCAGUAGGGAAGAAGCGAGAGUGACGGUACCUGCAGAAGAAGCGCCGGCUAACUACGUG
Molecule: ribosomal RNA, 466 nt
Filed under: uncultured bacterium
Lineage: Bacteria
Description: partial 16S ribosomal RNA
Rfam family: Bacterial small subunit ribosomal RNA
Source: RNAcentral